This 875-nucleotide ribosomal RNA is filed under the name Escherichia coli. RNAcentral describes it as "partial 23S ribosomal RNA". It matches the Rfam family "Bacterial large subunit ribosomal RNA", at positions 375 to 1254 of the family's 2925-position model. Lineage: Bacteria; Pseudomonadati; Pseudomonadota; Gammaproteobacteria; Enterobacterales; Enterobacteriaceae. The record is from RNAcentral.
GUACACAAAAAUGCACAUAUUGUGAGCUCGAUGAGUAGGGCGGGACACGUGGUAUCCUGUCUGAAUAUGGGGGGACCAUCCUCCAAGGCUAAAUACUCCUGACUGACCGAUAGUGAACCAGUACCGUGAGGGAAAGGCGAAAAGAACCCCGGCGAGGGGAGUGAAAAAGAACCUGAAACCGUGUACGUACAAGCAGUGGGAGCCUCUUUAUGGGGUGACUGCGUACCUUUUGUAUAAUGGGUCAGCGACUUAUAUUCUGUAGCAAGGUUAACCGAAUAGGGGAGCCGAAGGGAAACCGAGUCUUAACUGGGCGUUAAGUUGCAGGGUAUAGACCCGAAACCCGGUGAUCUAGCCAUGGGCAGGUUGAAGGUUGGGUAACACUAACUGGAGGACCGAACCGACUAAUGUUGAAAAAUUAGCGGAUGACUUGUGGCUGGGGGUGAAAGGCCAAUCAAACCGGGAGAUAGCUGGUUCUCCCCGAAAGCUAUUUAGGUAGCGCCUCGUGAAUUCAUCUCCGGGGGUAGAGCACUGUUUCGGCAAGGGGGUCAUCCCGACUUACCAACCCGAUGCAAACUGCGAAUACCGGAGAAUGUUAUCACGGGAGACACACGGCGGGUGCUAACGUCCGUCGUGAAGAGGGAAACAACCCAGACCGCCAGCUAAGGUCCCAAAGUCAUGGUUAAGUGGGAAACGAUGUGGGAAGGCCCAGACAGCCAGGAUGUUGGCUUAGAAGCAGCCAUCAUUUAAAGAAAGCGUAAUAGCUCACUGGUCGAGUCGGCCUGCGCGGAAGAUGUAACGGGGCUAAACCAUGCACCGAAGCUGCGGCAGCGACACUAUGUGUUGUUGGGUAGGGGAGCGUUCUGUAAGCCUGUGAA